This 1077-nucleotide unclassified non-coding RNA is filed under the name Hevea brasiliensis (rubber tree). The record is from RNAcentral. Lineage: Eukaryota; Viridiplantae; Streptophyta; Magnoliopsida; Malpighiales; Euphorbiaceae.
UCGGGUAAGAAGAAAAAAUCACUGGUCAAAAUGUGCACGAAAAAUAUUAACUUAUACAACAAAAAGUUGGAUACUAUUAGUGAUAUUACAGUAGAAAUGUCACCAUGCUAAUGUCUAUCACUUGACAAAAAACAUGAAGCGACAAAUGCCUAACACACAAUGAAGCGACAAAUGGAGAACGCUUCUUUGACAGGCUUGUCGUAAUCCAUCUGCUAGUCUCCCUAGACUAAAUCAGCCAACCUAUGCUUUUCCAACUAAGUACUUCUGGUUUAUCCUAUAUAAUCAAGUAUCAUAGAAGUAAAUGUCUGUACAUUACUCUUGUCCUCUUGAGGCAUCUUCCUGAGAGAGCAAGCCCAAGCACAAUGGACAAGGGGGAUCGCUUCUAUUUUCAUUACUUGUUCUCUGCUCCAAACAGUCUGCAUGAUACAUAUGACCACAGACUAAAACAGCCACAAUAGAGCAUUCCCCAGAAGAAAGUGCCUCUCCAAGAAAAUAUGGUUUCCGUCUUAACAGCUUCUGACAGAUCCCACAUAUCAUCUUCACUGCAUCAGAUGCAUCUAUUACCAUGGAGCUUAGCCUAGGUCUAAUUCUAUCUGGCCUGCCAAAUGCUUUUUCUUUGUUCCCUGUAUGGUGUCCAAACUCUGAACCAGACAACUUGAAGGCAAGUCUCUCAUCACGUAAAGGGGUAAUUUUCCCAUGAGAAGCCGAUGCAUUAGCAUGGUUCCCUGAAUUCCUCCGAGAGUAUUGAUGCCCAUAGUAGUGACGUGAUCGUUUCAAGAAAAUUGAGUGGCCAACAUUGUAAUGCUGAUGCGCAAGAGAAGAAUGCACAUUCAACAGCUUCAUGGUACUAUCUGUGGCAUCCAUCCCAGGUGAAAGAGGCUUUAAUUCAAUAGAAUCAAGUAAAUGAGAAGAUUUCUCACUUGACAAUAAUUCUGCUCCAGAAGAGCAUGGCAUGUUGCCCGAAGAAGAAGGAUGAUGGGAGGCGUUGUGGUUAGUGGCAGUUCGCUUUCUCUUCCCCAUAAUAAAAAGAAAGGUGAUAUUUUUAUCCAAGGCAAGGAGAGGCUAAUAGCCAAGAAU